RNAcentral lists this microRNA precursor (91 nucleotides) under Drosophila ananassae. RNAcentral's name for it is "mir-958 microRNA precursor family". It matches the Rfam family "mir-958 microRNA precursor family". Lineage: Eukaryota; Metazoa; Arthropoda; Insecta; Diptera; Drosophilidae. The record is from Rfam by way of RNAcentral.
CGGUGGGUUUUUAGCAAGUAGAAUAGCAGGCUUAUCACAGGUUCCUUUAACCCACUGUGAGAUUCUUCUAUUCUACUUUCGAGAAACACCC